GCGAAAGUGGCGAAAUUGGUAGACGCGCAAGCUUCAGGUGUUUGUACCGCAAGGCGUGAGGGUUCGAGUCCCUCCUUUCGCACCA
Molecule: transfer RNA, 85 nt
Filed under: Succinatimonas sp. CAG:777
Lineage: Bacteria; Pseudomonadati; Pseudomonadota; Gammaproteobacteria; Aeromonadales; Succinivibrionaceae
Also listed under: 5 other names
Description: transfer RNA-Leu(CAG)
Rfam family: tRNA
About the family: Transfer RNA (tRNA) molecules are approximately 80 nucleotides in length. Their secondary structure includes four short double-helical elements and three loops (D, anti-codon, and T loops). Further hydrogen bonds mediate the characteristic L-shaped molecular structure. tRNAs have two regions of fundamental functional importance: the anti-codon, which is responsible for specific mRNA codon recognition, and the 3' end, to which the tRNAs corresponding amino acid is attached (by aminoacyl-tRNA synthetases). tRNAs cope with the degeneracy of the genetic code in two manners: having more than one tRNA (with a specific anti-codon) for a particular amino acid; and 'wobble' base-pairing, i.e. permitting non-standard base-pairing at the 3rd anti-codon position.
Source: RNAcentral